RNAcentral lists this ribosomal RNA (255 nucleotides) under uncultured bacterium. RNAcentral describes it as "partial 16S ribosomal RNA". It matches the Rfam family "Bacterial small subunit ribosomal RNA", at positions 524 to 776 of the family's 1533-position model. The record is from RNAcentral.
UACGGGGGGAGCAAGCGUUGUUCGGAUUUACUGGGCGUAAAGGGCGCGUAGGCGGCCACUGCAAGUCAGUUGUGAAAUCUCCGAGCUUAACUCGGAAAGGUCAACUGAUACUGUGCGGCUAGAGUGCGGAAGGGGCAACUGGAAUUCUUGGUGUAGCGGUGAAAAUGCGUAGAUAUCAAGAGGAACACCUGCGGCGAAGGCGGGUUGCUGGGCCGACACUGACGCUGAUGCGCGAAAGCCAGGGGAGCGAACGGG